CAUGACUCGCAUUGAUAGGAACGUCACUCGCACGGAAAGAAACGUGCAAAGAUUGACUCAUGAGCUUCAUGGGUAUUUUGACUACGUCAACUACCCCUAUGCCCAAGUCGCCUUUCCGGGAGAGUCAAGUGAAGUACCGAACACCGAGCAAGAUGAUAAUGUCGAAGAUGACUACAGCUCCUCAUUUUGAUUAAUUUUUAGUCCAUAUUUUUGCUUCCAUUAUGUAUUUUAAUGUUUCUUUUCCCUUAAUCAAUAAGAUCUUCUUUUUGCUAAUGUCAAAAGGGGGAAGAAAGAGGGGCUAUGCACAUAAAACAUAUUUGGCAUAAAUU
This 329-nucleotide long non-coding RNA is filed under the name Nicotiana benthamiana. RNAcentral describes it as "long non-coding RNA (NBEN_LNC040021)". The record is from RNAcentral. Lineage: Eukaryota; Viridiplantae; Streptophyta; Magnoliopsida; Solanales; Solanaceae.